UCACUGCAGCUAUCUUACCAUUACAAAGCAUUUCACCCUUCAUGUAUCCUCUUUCUGUUUGACUUCAGACACCAUUUCCCAAAUGAGGCCCCAACUUCACUGCUCAGAGCAAACACACCCACUGCUUGUCUUUGAAGCAGAUGUAACUGUAGAUUGUGUGUACAAGCCAGGCGGACCAAACCUCUGCACUUCUACCGCUGGUUACCACCUUUGUGGCCAAGAACACAGCUUCACUCAACACAAUCGAUCUAUGGGUCCUCCUGAGACACACGGACAGACGCUCAGGAAAGGUUGGCUGGGAGAAGAAAAAGAAAAGAGUGCAUGUGUGGACAGAUCGAGACAAACGACUACCACUGGCUAUAAUCACUUUGAUGUUUUAACGGUUGUCGAGGAAGACACGUUGGAGACCGAUAUAACGAUUAAAGGAGGUGGACCAGUCAAAACGUCACCUGGAUAUCAGCAGUUUGUCUGAGAGCUUAUCACAAAGCACAGUAAAAGCACCUACCUAAUGACGUCACAUGAUCCCGAACCAUGAGAAAUGCAGAUCCUGGAGUGGACAGCCAAUCCAAGGAGGAAAUGAGGAGAAGGAGCAGGAGAUUGGAGGAGGA
This is a long non-coding RNA of Centropristis striata (black sea bass), 608 nucleotides long. RefSeq lists it as uncharacterized. The record is from RefSeq and is a predicted model, not a curated record. The transcript is spliced from 3 exons. NCBI's taxonomy places the organism in Eukaryota, Metazoa, Chordata, Actinopteri, Perciformes, Serranidae.